UUUUUCACUAAGUCUUUAGAGGUUUUAAGAUUCAAACACUAUGUAAGAAGAAUUAUGGUUUGAACUACGUAACAAUUACCUAGACAUCUUUUGGACUUCAGUUAACCUGUGUCAAGCACUGCAGUAGAUUCUGAAGAUACAAAAAUAAAUAAAACAUUCCUGCCCUCAAGACACUUACACUCUUAUGUGUAACACUGUGUGACCAUUCAUCUGGGCCUUCCUGAGACAGUCUUGGUUUACACCUGUUUUCCCAAUCAGAGCAUCACUGCCUUUCCCACUAUUCUCCUGCAGAAGAGCAGGGGAAGGAAGCACCAGGGUCCAUCAUGGAGGAAGGGUGUUGCCCUGAACAGCUGACACACCCUCAGCAAUGAAGCUUAGUUUUGCUGGAACUUUUCAGUUGUGACAACUGAGAUUCAGAGAUGUCCAAUCUACUCACAUAAAUAGCCUGGUUGAAGAUGGCUGAGCGUAAAACAGAAUGCAAGUCAGCUGGAGCACGUACUACUGGAGGCAGAGCCCCAUGAGAAGGGGCCAAGAACCCGCACCCAUCAAAAUCAAGAAGAAAGGCUGAACCCGGAGAGAAAAGGGAGCAACUGAUGUUGCCAUGCAGAUCCCUUGGUUGCUAUGAGAUGGUAACAUCACUCUGCCCCACCAUUGGCCAGUGCCUCCUCAGCUGCGGUGCCUCCCAGGCUGUGUGGUUCUCACGCGGGCCACUGACACAGAGCUGUUACUAUGGUGAACUUUACAAUUUCCUUUGAUUGGUGGAUUUCAGAAAUAGGCCAUCAGCGGAAUUCAUUAUAUUCAGCUAAGUAAAAAUGAAAAAUAAAUACUAUAACUUUCCCCUCAUCACUAACAUGAAGGAAACGUGACCCUUCAUGACAUAAUAAAUCGCUGUUCGGUAACUUAGGAUCCUUCAGGGGACUGAAGCGGGAUGAUCCUCCUAUGCCAAAUUUGGGUGGGAAAGAUAUUCCCUGUAGCUUUGAGUCGACUCUUCAGAGUUAAGGGCAGUGGGCCAACCAGAGUUGGAACUUCAGAGUUGGGAGGAGGUGUGGGAUGGGGCAUGCAUUGAAAUGUAAACUCUAUUGUCUCUGAAGUGAUGGGUGAUGCUGGGGGCCUGAGUGUGGAGGGCAGUUUUACAUCUCAGGACAAUGUUUUCUCAGAUGCUCUUCCAGAAAGAAAAGCCAGGAGUACUCCUGGCUGGAGGCGGCAUGCCUGAGGUCAGAGUCAAAGUAGGGUUUGUGCUGUCUGAAUCCUUUCUCCCACUCUCCCCAGCCUGGCUCAGCUUCUCAGCUUCUCAGGUGGAUUGGUGAGUCCUGGCCAAUUACGCUUCAGCUCAUCUCUACUCUCAGCAAAUAGGAAAAGGGAGUGAAGGACUGAGUUUUAACUCUUCUAAUUUCGUAACCUGACUCUCUAUAAGAAAAAGUAGGAGAAAGACUGAAGAACCCGAGAGAACAGGCCUCUGAGCCCAAGCCAAGCCAUCGCAUCCCCUGUGACUUGCCCGUAUAUAUGCCCAGAUGGCCUGAAGUAACUGAAGAAUCACAAAAGAAGUGAAUAUGCCUUGCCCCACCUUGACUGAUGACAUUCCACCACAAAAGAAGUGUAAAUGGCCGGUCCUUGCCUUAACUGAUGACAUUACCUUGUGAAAGUCCUUUUCCUGGCUCAUCCUGGCUCAAAAAGCACCCCCACUGAGCAUCUUGCGACUCCCACUCCUGCCCACUGAGCACCUUGUGACCCCCACUCCUGCCUGCCAGAGAACAAACCCCCUUUGACUGUAAUUUUCCUUUACCUACCCAAAUCCUAUAAAACGGCUCCACCCUUAUCUCCUUUUGCUGACUCUCUUUUCUGACUCAGCCCGCCUGCACCCAGGAGAUUAAAAGCUUUAUUGCUCACACAAA
RNAcentral lists this long non-coding RNA (1892 nucleotides) under Homo sapiens (human). RNAcentral describes it as "PREDICTED lncRNA (TCONS_00148407)". The record is from RNAcentral. Lineage: Eukaryota; Metazoa; Chordata; Mammalia; Primates; Hominidae.